This 259-nucleotide unclassified non-coding RNA is filed under the name Ascomycota sp. RNAcentral describes it as "partial contains small subunit ribosomal RNA, internal transcribed spacer 1, and 5.8S ribosomal RNA". The stretch from base 1 to 47 matches the Rfam family "Eukaryotic small subunit ribosomal RNA", at positions 1785 to 1831 of the family's 1831-position model. The record is from RNAcentral. Lineage: Eukaryota; Fungi; Ascomycota.
AAAGUCGUAACAAGGUCUCCAUUGGUGAACCAGCGGAGGGAUCAUUACCGAGUUUACAACUCCCAAACCCAAUGUGAACGUUACCAAACUGUUGCCUCGGCGGGGUCACGCCCCGGGUGCGUAAAAGCCCCGGAACCAGGCGCCCGCCGGAGGAACCAACCAAACUCUUUCUGUAGUCCCCUCGCGGACGUAUUUCUUACAGCUCUGAGCAAAAAUUCAAAAUGAAUCAAAACUUUCAACAACGGAUCUCUUGGUUCUG